RNAcentral lists this ribosomal RNA (1194 nucleotides) under uncultured bacterium. RNAcentral's name for it is "bacterial SSU rRNA". It matches the Rfam family "Bacterial small subunit ribosomal RNA", at positions 258 to 1533 of the family's 1533-position model. The record is from RNAcentral.
UAAGUGUUCACACGACUCAUGAGUUGCCGUCCUCAGAGGUGUGACCGCCUCACUUGGACUGGAACCGGUUCAUUCUCCGGAGGGAGCAGUUGGGAAAUUUCCAAUGAGGAUCUGAUGCAGACACGCGGGUGAAGGAAGAAGUCUUCGAUUCGUAACUCGUCAAAAGAAGAAGAAGUGACGUACUUUGAGGAGCCGCUACUACGUGCAGCAGCGCGUAUACGUAGGGGCAGCGUAUCUGAUAUGGCGUAAAGAGUGCGUAGUGUCACUAGCGCAGGGUUUAAGGCAAUGGCUCAACCAUUGUAUGCCUGCGACUGGCGACUUGAGUGCAGGAGAGGAAAGUGGAAUUCCUAGUGUAGCGGUGAAAUGCGUAGAUAUAGGAGGAACACCGGUGGCGAAGGCGACUUUCUGGACUGAAACUGACACUGAGGCACGAAAGCGUGGGGAGCAAACAGGAUUAGAUACCCUGGUAGUCACGCGUAAACGAUGAGCACCAGGUGUCGGGGUCGCAAGACCUCGGUGCCGCAGUUAACGCAUUAAGUGCUCCGCGUGGGGAGUACGUUCGCAAGAAUAAAACUCAAAGGAAUUGACGGGGACCCGCACAAGCAGCGGAGCAUGUGGUUUAAUUCGAAGCAACGCGAAGAACCUUACCAGGGCUUGACAUCCUUCUGCCGUACCCGCAAAAGGGUAUUUCCUACGGGACAGAAGAGACAGGUGGUGCAUGGUUGUCGUCAGCUCGUGUCGUGAGAUGUUGGGUUAAGUCCCGCAACGAGCGCAACCCUUGCCUUUAGUUGCCAUCAUUAAGUUGGGCACUCUAGAGGGACUGCCGGGGACAACUCGGAGGAAGGUGGGGAUGACGUCAAAUCAUCAUGCCCCUUAUGUUCUGGGCUACACACGUGCUACAAUGGCCGGUACAACAGGCAGCGAAGGAGCGAUCCGGAGCGAAUCCCAAAAGCCGGUCUCAGUUCGGACUGCAGGCUGCAACCCGCCUGCACGAAGUCGGAGUUGCUAGUAAUCGCGGAUCAGCACGCCGCGGUGAAUGCGUUCCCGGGUCUUGUACACACCGCCCGUCACACCAUGGAAGUUGGGGGUGCCCGAAGUCGGUUAACAAAUCUAUCGCCUAAGGCAAAACCAAUGACUGGGGUGAAGUCGUAACAAGGUAGCCGUAUCGGAAGGUGCGGCUGGAACACCUCCUUC